UGGGGAAUAUUGCACAAUGGGCGCAAGCCUGAUGCAGCCAUGCCGCGGGUGUGAAGAAGGCCUUCGGGUUGUAAAGCACUCUCAGCGGGGAGGAAGGCGGUGAGGUUAAUAACCUCAUCGAUUGACGUUACCCGCAGAAGAAGCACCGGCUAACUCCGUGCCAGCAGCCGCGGUAAUACGGAGGGUGCAAGCGUUAAUCGGAAUUACUGGGCGUAAAGCGCACGCAGGCGGUUUGUUAAGUCAGAUGUGAAAUCCCCGGGCUCAACCUGGGAACUGCGUCUGAUACUGGCAAGCUUGAGUCUCGUAGAGGGGGGUAGAAUUCCAGGUGUAGCGGUGAAAUGCGUAGAGAUCUGGAGGAAUACCGGUGGCGAAGGCGGCCCCCUGGACGAAGACUGACGCUCAGGUGCGAAAGCGUGGGGAGCAAACAGG
This 429-nucleotide ribosomal RNA is filed under the name Chloroflexota bacterium. Its description in RNAcentral is "Chloroflexi bacterium partial 16S ribosomal RNA". It matches the Rfam family "Bacterial small subunit ribosomal RNA", at positions 355 to 776 of the family's 1533-position model. The record is from RNAcentral. Lineage: Bacteria; Bacillati; Chloroflexota.